CCUCCCUGUGGCCCUGGGCUGACCGCACCCAGGUCUUUCCAGGCCAACUCUGGGCCUCACCCCCCGAGCCCCACGGCUCAGCUUAGUGCUGGCAGCUACAGACCCCCAGGGCCCGCCCGCUGUCUCCCCUCCCUCUGCCCCCCGGGCCACCCCCCUGCUCUGGCUAACCCCGCUGCUUAGGGCCCCCUCUGGCGGGCAGAGAGCCUGGCCUGGCGGGAAAGAGGAGACGCGGUGUAGAUGCCAUGUGGACUGGGGCCCGGGGGGUCCUUCCUGCCUGUCUUGGGGGCCCAGGCGCCGCUGAGCAGAACCCAAAGAGCCGUGAUGUCAGAGGAUCGCUGGGAGCCCACGGAGAGGGCGGCAUCCCCGGAACCCGGGUCACAGUGACGGAGGACCUUGAGGGUCCCUGCGGAAGGGGCCUGGCCUCAGGCACAUUGCUGCCGGGACCAGUCACCUUCUGUGCCCAGGCCUGAGGAUUUCCUGGGGGACCUGAGCUGAGACCCCAGCUACACGUCCUGUGCAUUGGCACAAACGUGGCUCAUCCUGUGAGCAGGUCUCCUUCCAUGACUCCGAUUCCAUUCUCACGAAGGUUUCAUCUCUGCUCGCAUGAAUAUUUCAUUCCGAGCUUAGUUAACAUCGCCCUUUGUCUCCGGACAGAAUGGAUCGAGCGGCUCCUCGAUGGGCACCACUGCCCAGCCCUUCUGCCCCCUGCUUUUGGUCACCAGGAGGAGCCUCACAGUCACACUGUCACUCAGGCCAGUGGCUGGGGGCCUCGUCCCUGCUCCCGGACGUGCAUGAAGGGCCCUGAUGUGUUGAGGGUCACCCCUGAGACACUGCCUGGGGUGGGGUCCUCCGAGGGGGUUGGGACGAGGCUGACCAUGGCCGGCACCUCGCUGGACAGUGCCUCCUGGUCUGGCUGCUGACGUCCGGAGCUGCUGCUGGGUGGCCGGGGCUCCAGUCCGCCCGGUGACGUCUGCCGCCCGUCAGUCUGUCUCUGCAUCUGAGGCUCUGUCGGCCUGUCUGUCUGUGGGCUCCUGCCUUCCUCCCUGUCAUGGGGAAGUUUGCAGAAGCGGCUCCGGUCCAUCUUGUCCUCCCAUCUGGGGACGUGGAGCCCCUGGACCCUGCACCCCCAUGAGAGGACAAGCCCAGUCGUUGGCACGAGCAGAACAGGAGAGGGGUCCCCCAGGGGAGGGAGCCGGCAGAGCCUGCGUCCUGCUCACCUCGAGGGGACGCGUGAAGGGAGUGGGACUCUGUCCUGCAGACCAAGAGCAGGCAGGGCACCUGGGGGACUGUGGAGGGGGUCCCGCCCCAACUCAUGCCCCUUGGAAGCCAGGCUGUUCAGAAAUCAGCCAGGAAGGGUAGGAGGGCUUUCCAGGCCCACUGGGAGGAGCUGGGAGGAGCCUGUGGACUCUGAAGGAUGACAGACAGAGGGCUCCAGAGGCUGUUUCCCUGUCCCUCCCUCCCCAGGCCAGGCCCCGUGGGUGCCCACGAGGCCAGGGUGACCUCUCAGCACCCUGAGGCUGGGAAUGGGCUGCGCUCUGAUCCUCAAAGGAGGAACCAGGUCUGAAAGUCCUGCCAGAGGCACAUGGAGGUGCCCGAUACCAGGACUGGGUUUUCUAAACCGUGUGCAUGUUAGCGGAGCAGGCCUCACUCUCCGCAGGCUCAGACUCAGCCCUGGAAGACCCCCUGCCGCCCCCCACGAAGCAGCCCGAAUGAUCAGAAGCCCGCCUCCCUGCAGUCUGGGUCCUCUGGGGCAGCCCGCCGUCCAACCAGCCCUGGGUGUGACCCGCUCCCCUAGGCCUCCCCGCAGCACCCCUGGCCCCAGUGCCCGGAGGUGGGGGGAGCAGGGGCUGCUGGGCCUCCCCCCACACAGGGUGGGGGACCGCUGCCCCAGAGCCACAAGGGGUCAGGGUGGGCGUCCUCUGUUUCCCCAGAGUCUCAGGGGCGCCUGCGUUUCCUGGACCUUGGUUGGAAAAGGCGGAAUAAGCCGCAUUUAAGUGGGCUUUCGGUUUUGAAUGAAUCUUGUAGCUAGCGUGACUGUUACACGAGCUGGCCCUGGACUCACUGUCACGGCUGGGGGGUGAGGGUGCCUGGAUGAUCAUGCCCUCUGCACUCGGCCAGGUUUGGGGCGGUUUCCCCUGCCGGCUCAGAGGUCACCCCUGGAAGGUGGCUGCUGAGCUGAGCACUGGCGAGCCAGGCCUCAGGCCAGACCCCGCCCCACCCCGCGCCCCCUCACCUCCAGCCUUGCUGGGCCAGCAGGACGCACCAGCAAGGUCUUUCUUCUGAAAGACUUGCUCGGAACGGUUUAUUACUCAAGGAAGGACAUUUAACACGUUAUGGUAGGACACGUUGUAAAGUAAAUAUUUCACUGGGCUCAUUUCAAAAAAUAAACAGUUUAAUUGAAUCUAUUUAUGGUUUGAAAAGCCAUCUGUCACGUCUUUUCCAUCCUUGGGGGAUAUCGUAAUUUAGCUUUAAAUAGCAUUAAUGCCAAAUCUGUCCAUGUGACUGCCUGCCUGAAAAAUCCAAGAGAAUGGCUAAUAAAUAGCUAAAGAGAGAAAAACAGAAGCAAUACUUUAAAAAUUUUAAGUAUAUAUUUAGACUAGUUAAUGUUUCUGUUCACAAACCACACCAGUCUGACUAUGUGAUUGAGGCUGUCACAUUGCUAAUGACAAUGCAGAAGAUUAAAAUGCCCAGGAAUAAAUUUAAGAAGUAUGCAUGACGUGCAAAUUUAAAAAAGGAAGUUAUACAAAGGAUAUAUAUGAAUCCUUGCAUUAAUAGAAAAGCUUGUUUUUUAUAUUGACAUAUUUUAACUUUAUAAUUAAGACGAUAAUAAAAAUGUCUUACCAAAUAAAGCAAUACAUUGUAUAAUAUCAGAAUACUCUUAAUAUUACUAACGAUAUAUUUGUUUAAUAGAGGAACCAAGAAAACAUAAAUACAUAUAACAGGAAAAUGAAAUAUUUGAUCUUUACUAAUUUUUCUUCUUAGACUUGAGUUUCCCUAAGAUAUGAACAAAUGGUCAUGCAAUGAUCUAGGAGGUGUGCCUGCCUUAAUUAUAUUAAUAUCCAGAAAACUCUGUUAUUAGGCGUGAAGCUGUUUCAAUAUUACCAGCUAUAAAUAAGUAAAUACUUUAAAUGAAAGAAGACUUCAAGACACACGGCCUUUGCAACAGAGGUGAGGCCCAUGGCUGGGGUCGCCCUAGAAGGACCUCUUGUCCUGGGAGGGCACUGGAGUGACCUCCAGCCUUGAGGAGGCAGAGUCUGAGGUGGCCAGACUGUCCUGAGCGGGUGGGAAAUUCUCUCAGGGGUCGUGGUGACCAACUCUUUUUCAUUUUCUUCCUUCUUUCCUCCCUUCCUUUUUUUAACUCAGAAAAACUAGCUCUAGCGUGCAGCCCCGUGAUGCUGGCCUGCGUAGGAGAACUCUCUCCCCUGACCAGAGGGCUGGUGGAGGGGCUGCCCUGCGCUUCCCACCAUUUUCCUUAAAAACACAGGAAAUAGCACAGGAAGUGAUUAAGGAGGAUCUGCCAAGAAAGAUGUAGUGGGUUGGCAAAAACAAAUCACGGAGAAGCUCAUUUUAAUAGAAACAUGUGACCUACGUAAGUAGUGAGGUUUGACGAUGACCAGGCCACUACUCAAAAUGAUGGCAACAUUUAAUAGGAUGGUAUCUUCUCAUUAACCCAUCCCACGUAGUGGGUCCUUUAUUCCCGUGUUUGCCUGCUUAUUCACCAUCUAUUCACUUCCACGGGCUUCCCUGGUGGUUCAGCUGGUAGAGAACCCACCCGCCAAUGCAGGAGACGUGAAUUCGAUCCCUUGGUUGGGAAGAUGCCCUGGAGGAGGAAACGGCCCCCCACUCCAGUAUUCCUGCCGGGGAGAGUCCACGGACAGGGCGCCUGGCGGGCUGUGGGCUACGAGCUUACACAGAGCCAGACACGGCUGAGCGGCUAACGGCAGCUUUCACUUCCACACAGGGCCCCAUUUCCACGUUGACAAAUAAAACCAACAGGACCCUCUUUAUACAAAGCUCAGAAAAAAAGGGAGAAGAAAAAAAGAAAAGAAGAGGUGUUUUCAACAACAGACUGCUGUUGAUUAAGGGCUUAGCUACUUGUGGAGGAUUUUUUCUUAUGAUAUAAAGUUAGGGUAUUUUUGAAGGGAAAAUGGAGAUGAGUCUUCAUAAAGCUGAUUUCAUAAAUACAAAGUUGCAAAACAGAAAUUACAGUUGGGCUGAGAAUCCUUAAAAAGCCGCGGCUGUGAAUGGCCCUUUUGAGCAGUGCUGAUUAUCAGAGGAGGAGUCUGCGAGUCUUCAAUGCCUGGUCAGCGGGAGAAAGAACAGCCUCUCUCUUUACCCUCAAAAGGAGCCGACGCACCGGGAGCUCUGACAACUUUAAAAGAGCAUUGCCAACGCUGACACAGAUUUUCCUCGUACAAUGCUCUGCACUUUGUCUCAGUUAUUGUUCAGGAUUCAGCGAUUCUGGAACCUACUUGUCCUUUGACUACGGAGGGUUAAUUAACCCUGGCUGGCGGUCCCUUGGCCUGGGCAGCGAUACCCCGGGAGCCCACCUGAUGGAUGUGUGAGCACUUGCCUGCCAGAAUCACAGAGAGGCCAGCCUUUCUGUCUGCAUAAUUUUAUGUAAAUAACUUGGCCCUGUCAGCGAUGUGUUUAUGCCGAGGGGGCGGGGUUUAGGCACCCUCCCUACACAGCAGGCCUCGCUGAGACUCUGCCCCGAGGAACCGCAGUUCACUCUAUUCCCCCUGAAGUCAAGCGCCAGGCCCACCCCUAGGCCAGGCUGCAAGGGGAAGGUCGGGAUGGUCAGCGUUUGGGAGUGAGUGGCCAAAGGGUCCAGACUGCAAGGCCCAGGCCGGCAGGUUGCCCCAAAGCUUAGAAGUCUGGGGACAGUGACGACACUGUCAGUUUCACAGAGUGGGCGAGCACAGACCAAGAGCAGGAGCUGUGAAGGGCCUCUGCAGUCAGGACAGGCGGCCCGGAGCCUCCUCCCAGCCCUGCAGGGGUGCCUCCCGUGAUGCUGGAGCUCGGGACAGUGACCCCCUCGCUCGGAGGCUCCGUUUCUUCAGCGGAGCUGUGUUGUUGUUGACACCGCUCUGGGCCCCAGGCCAGUCUCACAGCCAGGCCCCCUCCGCCCCCGCCCCCCAGCAGGUGCCUGCAGCUCCUUGGGCUCUGGUCUGAUCAGACCCCCGGGAGGCUGGGGGAUGGGGUGGGUGGAUGGAGAACAGCCCCUUGCUGUUCCUUUUCCAGAGGCUGGAGUGCGUUUUCUCAGGAUGAAAGUGCAGGUCUGAACCGGUCUGUCUUCUCAGGCGCUGUCACAAUUCAAGCUCCAUCUCUCUCACCCGAAACCCUUGGGACCAGAUGGAAUUUAGGUGCAGAUUUUAGAAAGAUUUAGAUUUCUGCAUACCACACAUACCACGCAACCCGAAGAGCAGGGGUCGGGGGAACCACAUCUGCACGGGAGACACACAGAGGGAUUCUCGGGCUGGGAAGACUCCAGCUUGUCGUACUUUCCAGGUUAUGCCAAUAAACAAAUUAAAGAAGAACGUCCCAGUUUUAGAGGAUUUGAGUUUAUGUUAUCAUGUGUAAGAAAUUGCAGAUGGGACUUGCCUGGAGGUAAGGAAUCUGCCUGCUGAUGCAGGGGACAAGGGUUUGACCCCUGCCUGGUUUGGGAAGAUCCCACAUGCGGAGGGGCAACUGAGCCUGUUUGCCCUAGAGCCCACGCUCUGUGGUAAGACAAGCCCCUGCUCGCCAGAGCUAGAGGAAGCCUGCCUGCGGCAGCAAAGACUCAGGGAAGCCAAAAAUCAGUAAAUUAAUAAAAUAAAAAAUAAAGUAGUGAAAAUCUUUAAAAAAGAAAUUGUAGAUGUGCACAAUCAUAAUGGUUAGUCUAUUUUCCUUUCCAAAUGGUUCAGAUCCACCUUCUUGAGGUUUUCU
Long non-coding RNA from Bubalus bubalis (water buffalo), 5928 nucleotides. RefSeq lists it as uncharacterized. Lineage: Eukaryota; Metazoa; Chordata; Mammalia; Artiodactyla; Bovidae. The transcript is spliced from 2 exons. The record is from RefSeq and is a predicted model, not a curated record.